This 700-nucleotide long non-coding RNA is filed under the name Oryzias sinensis (Chinese medaka). RNAcentral's name for it is "lncRNA (ENSOSIG00000008466.1)". Lineage: Eukaryota; Metazoa; Chordata; Actinopteri; Beloniformes; Adrianichthyidae. The record is from RNAcentral.
UCUUCAUGUCGCCGCUAGAGGGAGCCAGAGCUGCUGUCUGACGCUGCUCAUUUCUCAUAUCAAUGCGCCAUGUGGCCGCUAGAGGGAGCUGCUGUCUGUUGGGGCUGCUCGGUCAUCUUAUCAAGUUCUCGUCUGGGUGUGUCCAAGUGUCCCUCAGAGAAGCAGCAGUGGGGAGUUCAUCUCCUCCAAACCACCGUGAGCACUCAUGAAGGUGCCUGUGGUGGCGUUCACACCUCAGUCAUGUUUAUUUUUAAACAAUAGGCGUUAGGGUUGUACCAUCCGCCGUCACCAUGGCAACGCAUCGCGGCAGAAAGGAAACGGCCCGGAGCAAAGCGCAGCCAAAGCGGCAGCACAAACCGGCCAAGGGCUCCAAGAAGCGACCGCCGGCCAAGGCUCGGAGCAAAAGCAGCAAGCUGAUGCGGGCGAAGAAGCGGGGACUGACGAAAGGAAUUCGUGCUGAGCCUAAAAAGAAGAGUCGCACAGUUUCAAAGCAAAGCAGAGCUGUCAUCAGGAGAAAAUCUCUGAGGCUGAAGAAACCUGCAGGGGUCAGGCGGAGCGGACAGAAGGCGAGCAGCACCCCCCCCAAACCUGCAGGCAGACGUGACGCCUCCAAGAAGACGAGCGGCGUCCGCAGAAAGUAAAAAACCUGCAGAAAAAUCAGACUCAUUCCAUCCAAAUGAAACAGCUUGACAGCUUGAAA